AUGUCCCUGGUUUUUGAUCACUUGAUCGGCUGCGGGUGCGUGGAGUCGGGGGCACAGAGGAAGAGGGCGGCGGAGCGCAGCGCACCAGGCCACGCGCGCGCGUCUGCUGUCGACGGCGUGCAGCGCUGGUCGUGUGCAUGCGCGCCCACGCACCCUUGUGCCUUGUGGACGCUGUGGUGCGCCAUGCUAGUCGCCCGCUCGCUGGUGCGGCCCGAGUCGCCCGACUGGGACGGGACUCUGUCACCAUUCGGCGGUGAUCUGCUGUGCCAUCUCCAUCCCAACUUUGCUCGUCGCGGUCCCAAUGCAAGGUUCCAAGUCUUGCUUUGCUGCUCCCACGUGCUGACCGACUGA
This 351-nucleotide ribosomal RNA is filed under the name Triticum aestivum (bread wheat). RNAcentral's name for it is "partial small subunit ribosomal RNA". Lineage: Eukaryota; Viridiplantae; Streptophyta; Magnoliopsida; Poales; Poaceae. The record is from RNAcentral.